AAGUCGUAACAAGGUUUCCGUAGGUGAACCUGCGGAAGGAUCAUUAACGAGAGGAGCUUCGCGCUCCAGGGGGUUCGCCUCCGCCUCUCAACCCUGUGAAAACAUACCUUUGUUGCUUUGGCGGGCCUUGGGGUCAUGCUCAUGCCGGGCUUCUGCCCGGCGAGUGCUCGCCGAAAGCCCACCAAAACUCGUUUAAGUCAUGCAGUCAGAGUCUAAAUACAAAUAAAGCAAAACUUUCAACAACGGAUCUCUUGGUUCUG
Molecule: unclassified non-coding RNA, 260 nt
Filed under: air metagenome
Description: partial contains small subunit ribosomal RNA, internal transcribed spacer 1, and 5.8S ribosomal RNA
Rfam family: Eukaryotic small subunit ribosomal RNA (bases 1-46)
Source: RNAcentral